This 307-nucleotide unclassified non-coding RNA is filed under the name plant metagenome. RNAcentral describes it as "partial contains 5.8S ribosomal RNA, internal transcribed spacer 2, and large subunit ribosomal RNA". The stretch from base 1 to 106 matches the Rfam family "5.8S ribosomal RNA", at positions 50 to 154 of the family's 154-position model. The record is from RNAcentral.
GAAAUGCGAUAAGUAAUGCGAAUUGCAGAAUUUCCGUGAGUCAUCGAAUCUUUGAACGCACAUUGCGCCCGCCAGUAUUCUGGCGGGCAUGCCUGUCCGAGCGUCAUUUCAACCAUCAAGCCCCCGGGCUUGUGUUGGGGACCUGCGGCUGCCCGCAGGCCCUGAAAACCAGUGGCGGGCUCGCUGUCACACCGAGCGUAGUAGCAAUCAUCUCGCUCAGGGCGUGCUGCGGGUUCCGGCCGUUAAACAGCCUUACAAAACCCAAGGUUGACCUCGGAUCAGGUAGGAAGACCCGCUGAACUUAAGC